GUGUUCCCUUCGGCAGCACAUAUACUAAAAUUGGAACGAUACAGAGAAGAUUAGCAUGGCCCCUGCACAAGGAUGAAAUGCAAAUUCGUGAAGCACUCCAUACUUAA
This is a small nuclear RNA of Mesocricetus auratus (golden hamster), 107 nucleotides long. Lineage: Eukaryota; Metazoa; Chordata; Mammalia; Rodentia; Cricetidae. The record is from Ensembl.